UGAACGUUGGCGGCAGGCCUUAUACAUGCAAGUCGAACGAGAAAGCACCUUCGGGUAUGAGUACAGUGGCGGACGGGUGAGUAACGCGUAGGAAUCUACCUUCAGGUGGGGGACAACUCGGGGAAACUCGAGCUAAUACCGCAUAAUACCUAAGGGUCAAAGUGGGGGAUCUUCGGACCUCACGCCGGAAGAGGAGCCUGCGUUGGAUUAGCUUGUUGGUGAGGUAAUGGCUCACCAAGGCUACGAUCUAUAGCUGGUCUGAGAGGACGAUCAGCCACACUGGAACUGAGACACGGUCCAGACUCCUACGGGAGGCAGCAGUAGGGAAUCUUGGGCAAUGGGCGCAAGCCUGACCCAGCCAUGCCGCGUGUGCGAAGAAGGCCCUAGGGUUGUAAAGCACUUUCAGUCGCGAAGAAAAGCUUGAAGUUAAUACCUUUGAGUCUUGACGUUAACGACAGAAGAAGCACCGGCUAACUCCGUGCCAGCAGCCGCGGUAAU
RNAcentral lists this ribosomal RNA (498 nucleotides) under uncultured bacterium. RNAcentral describes it as "bacterial SSU rRNA". It matches the Rfam family "Bacterial small subunit ribosomal RNA", at positions 30 to 524 of the family's 1533-position model. The record is from RNAcentral.